This 305-nucleotide ribosomal RNA is filed under the name uncultured bacterium. RNAcentral's name for it is "bacterial SSU rRNA". It matches the Rfam family "Bacterial small subunit ribosomal RNA", at positions 338 to 641 of the family's 1533-position model. The record is from RNAcentral.
CCUACGGGACGCAGCAGUGAGGAAUAUUGGUCAAUGGGAGAGAUCCUGAACCAGCCAAGCCGCGUGAGGGAAGACGGCCCUAUGGGUUGUAAACCUCUUUUGUCGGAGAACAAAAUCCGGGACGUGUCCCGGACUGCGUGUAUCCGAAGAAAAAGCAUCGGCUAACUCCGUGCCAGCAGCCGCGGUAAUACGGAGGAUGCGAGCGUUAUCCGGAUUUAUUGGGUUUAAAGGGUGCGCAGGCGGAGAUGCAAGUCAGCGGUCAAAUUGCGGGGCUCAACACCGUACUGCCGUUGAAACUGCAUCCC